UACGUAGGGCGCAAGCGUUGUCCGGAAUCAUUGGGCGUAAAGGGCUCGUAGGCGGUCCGUCACGUCGGGAGUGAAAACUCAGGGCUCAACCCUGAGCGUGCUUCCGAUACGGGCGGACUAGAGGUAUGCAGGGGAGAACGGAAUUCCUGGUGUAGCGGUGGAAUGCGCAGAUAUCAGGAGGAACACCGGUGGCGAAGGCGGUUCUCUGGGCAUUACCUGACGCUGAGGAGCGAAAGCAUGGGGAGCGAACAGG
RNAcentral lists this ribosomal RNA (253 nucleotides) under uncultured bacterium. Its description in RNAcentral is "partial 16S ribosomal RNA". It matches the Rfam family "Bacterial small subunit ribosomal RNA", at positions 524 to 776 of the family's 1533-position model. The record is from RNAcentral.